Saccostrea cuccullata (small rock oyster) is the source of this 596-nucleotide long non-coding RNA. RefSeq lists it as uncharacterized. The transcript is spliced from 5 exons. Lineage: Eukaryota; Metazoa; Mollusca; Bivalvia; Ostreida; Ostreidae. The record is from RefSeq and is a predicted model, not a curated record.
GUUUUCUAACUUUUCGGAUAGCCAACUCUUGUUUUUUGGAACUUACGACUUAUGGCAAGAAAGAAGAAAACUGUGUGACGUUAAAAGAAAACCAGUGAGAUAAAAUCAUAGAAAAUGUAUGAUGAUUCAGGAUGUGGUCAUUUGUGACAUUAAAACAGGAAUUGUCAUCACCAAUAGACGAAUUUCACAUUCCUAAGAGUUUUCUCCAAUUGUCGGCGUAUCGCUCAUUUUUCCCACUUUGUCCUUUGUCCUGUUCUGUGGAUGCCCUAAGACAGUGUCUACCCAUCACUCCAUCUGAUAUCACUUGUUCUGUGCAUAUUUCUCUCUCAAACUUAAACUACAGAGAGCCUAUGGAUAGAGGAUGAAGAGUGACCUUGGACUACUUUUGUAGGUCAAAGAUCAUAGGUGAUGUGAAGAAAACCAGGAAACUGAUGUUGAAAGAAGUACUUAAUGACCCUUAUGAAUGGACUUAAAUGUGAAAGACUGUUCAAUUGUUUAUCUAAGAUAUAUGAAUUUAUUUAAUAUUUUGAUAUCAUUGAAAAAUUCAGUUACAGUUUUUGUACAUCAAAUGAAUUAUUAAACAUAUAAAAUGGUAA